This 64-nucleotide transfer RNA is filed under the name Amphioctopus fangsiao. Its description in RNAcentral is "tRNA-His". Lineage: Eukaryota; Metazoa; Mollusca; Cephalopoda; Octopoda; Octopodidae. The record is from RNAcentral.
GUAAAAUUAGUUUAAAUAAACUACUAAGUUGUCGGCUUGGAGAAAAAGGUUUAUUUAUUUUACU